UGGUUGUCUUCUGUCUUGCGUUUGCAUUUCCACAGCGUGAAGUGUACUAACCUACAGCAGUCAUAAUGACCUGCUCUUGAUGUGAGUUCAACACACUGGUGCCAAGCAUAUGGUGAACUCCAUAUGCUCAACUUCCGUGACAUUAUCCAACCCAAAAACGCUAGCCUAUUCCAGGACAGCCUACAAACUGUAACCCCCGUGUGCAACUCCAUGACACCAGCAAAUAAGCUGUCGCUGGCCGGAUGGGAAGGAUGCCAUAACACGAGGAGGUGGAGAAAAGGCACCUACGGACCUUUCAUUAUCCAUCCACAGAGCAGCUCUGGUCCAGAGUCAUGACAGUGUCGGCAGUGCCGCCUCUGUGUGCUUUCAUAGCUUUCGUCAGAAAGUCUUACCGCCCUCCUUCACUUUUCAAACAGCCCACAGGUCCUCAGCUUCACAAAGGACCCUGUGGAUGGAGCACGCCCCCGCAAACCUGUCUCCCUCAUUCUAGCUACAGACAGGAAAACAUCUCAGAGUUGGUGUUCAGCAUGCCACAGACUGAAUCAUACAUGUCAAAUAUGACUAUGAGUAAACAAG
Sinocyclocheilus anshuiensis is the source of this 576-nucleotide long non-coding RNA. RefSeq lists it as uncharacterized. The transcript is spliced from 3 exons. Lineage: Eukaryota; Metazoa; Chordata; Actinopteri; Cypriniformes; Cyprinidae. The record is from RefSeq and is a predicted model, not a curated record.